This 1347-nucleotide long non-coding RNA is filed under the name Equus asinus (donkey). Its description in RNAcentral is "lncRNA (ENSEASG00005037189.1)". The record is from RNAcentral. Lineage: Eukaryota; Metazoa; Chordata; Mammalia; Perissodactyla; Equidae.
CUGGGUCCAUCCUCAGCAGGUAGAGGUGAGCUAGGGUCCGGCUUGGCUGGCCUACAAUGUCAAUGGCCUCUCCUGCUUUCCCAUCUUGGAGCUUGGAGUCUCCAGUGGGUAGUGACUGGCCCCCGAAGUGAGGCUUGGGGAAUGUCUGCUCAGUGAAGUCAUACUUUAUAGGGGUGCUCACCCCCUUACUCACACGCCCUGAAUGACUUGCAGGGCCCCAGAGACACUUGCACGUAUAUGACAUAUGCACGAGAUUAUUCACAGCAGCACUGUAUGACAGCAGAAGAUUGGAAACACCUUCAAUGCCCAUCAACGUGGGACUGGCUUGGACUAUGGUGACCCUAGGAGACAGGUACCAAUAUUAAGAAAAUGAAGCACAGAGACGUUAAGUAAUUGUUCAAGGCCUGUGAGCCCAGCUGAGUGGAGGAGCUGGGAACGGAAUCCACUGGAACCAUGCACCUCGUCUGCUGCCUCUUGGCACUCAGCCAAACCAGGAGUUUCGGGGAUCGCCUGGGGGUGAAAGGGGGAGGAGAGAGGUGAAGACUUGGUUGUGGAGGGCCUGAUGGUCCAGACCCCAUCACGAGCUUUACUUACCCACAAGGCCCCUCCUCAGACCCCUGGGGCUCGUCCGGCUCAAGGCCCCAAUGUGACAGGAGGGAGAAGCCUGAAGAAGAGAGGGACUUUCCCCAAGUGACGGACGUGUCAACAGCAGAGCUGCACUGGAACCCAGCCUUCCCUCAGCCAGACCACACCUGUAAUUUUGUUUCUGGGCCCAUGCCCAGCAUUUUCUCCUCUCCUGGUCUCUCCCAGUACUCCCUUCAGCCUGGCGCACUCCCCACCUGCCCUGGGAUGUUCUUACUCUCCCCUCAGGUCUCUGUGAUACCACCUCCUCCAGGAAGCCUUCCCUGAACUGUGCCUGCAUGGGGUCUGUGCCUCCUCAGGUUCUCCAUGGCCCCAGUGUGUCCCUCUGUCCCUCACCAGUGACCCGACCUGGCGGGGCCUGUCUCUCUCAGGGAGUGUGGCCUUGAGGGUGGGAACCACAUUCAACUCCCAGUAGGGGGCUGGAGCUGGCUUGUACUAACUUUUGAGAGUUGAUUAAACUUUCAGGAGUUUUAUGAACUGGUUAUUAAAUGCAGCCAUUGUUAAUAAUUAAAUUACAUAAACUUAUAAUUAAAUACAUUUUGUGAAAAAGGGAAAUGCACACCAAAAACUCAUCAUUUCCUAAUUAUUUUACUAUUAUCUAUGCCCAUGAGUUUGUUUACGCCCACCGUUUCUGGUGGUGGAGACACACUAUAUAAUGGUGUUCAGGGACAUCGCGUUGGUGGCUUGAUAUCUGCUGUGGUAGGA